AUAUCUAACACUCCCCCUCAAGUUGGAGCACAGAAUCAUGCCCAACUUGUUACAUACAUAUCACAUGAGCCAUAGGACUUCACAUCUAAAUCGUAAGAGUGUCGUG
Long non-coding RNA from Ipomoea nil (Japanese morning glory), 106 nucleotides. RefSeq lists it as uncharacterized. Lineage: Eukaryota; Viridiplantae; Streptophyta; Magnoliopsida; Solanales; Convolvulaceae. The transcript has 3 exons. The record is from RefSeq and is a predicted model, not a curated record.